UGAGGAAUANNNNGNAAUGGACGGAAGUCUGAACCAGCCAAGUAGCGUGCAGGAUGACGGCCCUAUGGGUUGUAAACUGCUUUUGUAUGGGGAUAAAGUUAGGGACGUGUCCCUAUUUGCAGGUACCAUACGAAUAAGGACCGGCUAAUUCCGUGCCAGCAGCCGCGGUAAUACGGAAGGUCCAGGCGUUAUCCGGAUUUAUUGGGUUUAAAGGGAGCGUAGGCUGGAGAUUAAGUGUGUUGUGAAAUGUAGACGCUCAACGUCUGAAUUGCAGCGCAUACUGGUUUCCUUGAGUACGCACAACGUUGGCGGAAUUCGUCGUGUAGCGGUGAAAUGCUUAGAUAUGACGAAGAACUCCGAUUGCGAAGGCAGCUGACGGGAGCGCAACUGACGCUUAAGCUCGAAGGUGCGGGUAUCAAACAGGAUUAGAUACCCUGGUAGUCCGCACAGUAAACGAUGGAUGCCCGCUGUUGGUACCUGGUAUCAGCGGCUAAGCGAAAGCAUUAAGCAUCCCCACCUGGGGAGUACGCCGGCAACGGUG
This 541-nucleotide ribosomal RNA is filed under the name uncultured bacterium. Its description in RNAcentral is "bacterial SSU rRNA". It matches the Rfam family "Bacterial small subunit ribosomal RNA", at positions 355 to 896 of the family's 1533-position model. The record is from RNAcentral.